Molecule: ribosomal RNA, 354 nt
Filed under: Cherax setosus
Lineage: Eukaryota; Metazoa; Arthropoda; Malacostraca; Decapoda; Parastacidae
Description: partial 12S ribosomal RNA
Source: RNAcentral
ACUUGAAUAUUAGUAGUUAUGAGCUUUAAAUUCAAAGAAUUUGGCGGUAUUUUAGUCUUGUUAGAGGAACCUGUUCUGUAAAUGAUACUACACGAAGGAUCUUACUUGCUUUUGUUUUUCAGUUUGUAUACCGUCCAUUAUUAGAUAACCUUUAUUGGGGGAGUUAUUGUAAUGUGUAAAGUCAGAUAUAUUAGAUCAAGGUGCAGCUUAUAGGUAAGAAGAAAUGGGUUACAAUAAAAUUUAUUUAUACGUAUUAGUGAUUGAAUAAUUAUUAUGAAGGAGGAUUUAAUUGUAAUGUAAAUUUAAUAAGUUAACGUGAUAUGAGAACUAAAAUAUGUACAUAUCGCCCGUCGC